UUAAUCAUCUCCCUAUUUCCCAAAUUAUAAAAUUAUAAAGAAAUUGUUUUUCCUGAAAGAUUAAAUUGAAUCGUAUUACGCUUUCCAAGUAAAUCAUGCCACCAAAAUCAAGAAAGACCAAGGCUUCACAACAACUUCGAAAAGGAGCUAGUGGUGCUGCCAACCAGAAUGACUUACUUAUUAUCCAGGCUCUUAUACUUAGAUCUCAAUAAACCUUCGAACCUGAUUGAGAUUACUACCUAGAACAGCUGGGAUUUCGAAUCAAUUCGCAAGCUGUCCAGACUGAUUUGUCUAAGGUGUCUAACGCCCUCGAAAAGGCGGUAACAUGUGGAUUUAUUCAGAUCAUAAACGAAGGCUUUUACCUCUUUCCCAUAACCGUAACUGAAUCUAUAAAAACUGAAAUAUUUAAUGAUAGCUUGCGUCAAGAUAUUGCCAGAGACUACGAUCCCGCUAGGUCCAAACGAAUCCGGCGCAAGCUCCCGAACACCGGCACCACUAUUGCGGGCCUUACGAUCCGUGAUGGCGUCAUCAUUGCCACCCACAUCAGGGAGACAAGCGGCUCCAUGAUUCGCACAGGUCGUUCAAAGAAAAUAUUUCGCCUGCACGAUAACAUCUAUGCAGCUGGAGCUGGCACCGCCGAUGAUAUAUGUAGAUGCCGUUGCACGUCUUCUUCGGGCACAGCUUAACCAUAUUCGGAUGACAAUGUGCACAGAGGUGCCAGUUGUGCGCGCUAAACAUAUAAUUAAAAAGCUGAUUUACCGCUUUAAGCACGUAAACAGGAUGAACUGGAUAAUCGCCGCCGUAGACAGGGGUCGAGCCUCGAAAGCCUCGCUAGAAAGAAAACCUGGACGAAAAGGAAGCGACGCGCUUGAUUAUUGAUGCGGUUCGCGCUGCCAUCUAGACCGAUCGUGGCACACAGAGACAAGACCGUCCGGGUCUACCGUCCACUUCUGCGUCAUCCGCAAUGACUACGUGGUAAGGCAGGGAUACAACGUCGUCGUCGAGAUUGCCCACCGUAUACGGUACAAGAGGGUGUCUGGGAAGUAGUUCACAAACAAUGGACAAAAAAAA
This 1071-nucleotide small RNA is filed under the name Drosophila pseudoobscura pseudoobscura. RNAcentral's name for it is "GA22826". The record is from RNAcentral. Lineage: Eukaryota; Metazoa; Arthropoda; Insecta; Diptera; Drosophilidae.